UUUUGACCCCUCUACCCAAUGGCUGCAGGAGGCACAGAGUUUUGGGGAGUGCAUAUAAUCAACAUAUUAUCUGAGGUGCUUAGAUAUUGAUCCAGUAUUUCGAGGUAGUUCAAAUUCAUCACUUUUGGCCCCACGGGUUUGACCUCAAUUUUUUCCCCGAGCUGUACGUGGACGAACAUUUCCCCCUUGCUGAAAUGCCGAAGAGAAAGUCUCCAGAGGGUCCAGAGGGCAAGGAAGCCCCCAAAGUGACGAAGCAAGAGCCCACCAGAAGGUCAGAGAGGUUGUCAGCGGUAAGUUUCCUGUCCUCACUAC
Molecule: long non-coding RNA, 312 nt
Organism: Cololabis saira (Pacific saury)
Lineage: Eukaryota; Metazoa; Chordata; Actinopteri; Beloniformes; Belonidae
Exons: 3
Source: RefSeq, a predicted model, not a curated record